GCGCUCACUUUGGCAGCACAUAUACUAAAACUGUAAUAAUACAAAGGAGAUGAACAUGGCCCCUAAAUAAGGUGACAUGCAAAAUGCAGUGUUCUGUAAUUUA
Ictidomys tridecemlineatus (thirteen-lined ground squirrel) is the source of this 103-nucleotide small nuclear RNA. Lineage: Eukaryota; Metazoa; Chordata; Mammalia; Rodentia; Sciuridae. The record is from Ensembl.